AUGAACUGGACAGACAAGAUGCAUCACUGUCACAUCACGGCUGGACUGACAGGCAGCCAGGGCGGCCAUGACAGGCGAGAUGAUCUGUGCUGACCUGAUGCUGGGUCAGACGGAAGGAGAGCCAGGUGGCCGACUGAUUGGAAUGGACACAUUUGGGAUUGUCAAAUGAUCGGGAUCAAGGUCCCGGUCAUCAUAUAUCUGAUAGUGAUCAAAAACUGCUUCAAGGCAUUUCCGACAAUCGGUUUGAGCAAAAACAAGCCUUGCCUCGUCAGGUCCAGGCUAUAUUUUGGCCUUUGUUGUGGCGGACAUCCAUAAAGAAGUGUAAUCUCAUUUUGAUCUGGAACACCUGCAUUAUAUGUUAUGAUCCAAUAAAGUUAUCUAAGAUACAAGAUUAUUAUGUUCAUUUUAUUGUAAUCUACGCUGUCAUCCUGACUGUAGGAAGUCUGGUGGGACAAUUGAGUGAGAUUAGGUUCUUCUCUUCGUUUGGGAGGGGAAAGCGAGACACACCUGCCUGAGAUAUGCAAUCCACUGAGUGCACUUAUCUAGAUUUAACAUAGAAUCAGAUGACAACUUGUAAAUAUGAAAUGGGUUGCUUGUAGUGAUGAACUCACCGAGAACCCAAUUCUGAAGUGCCUCUCAGCUCCACAGAGCUAUUCCUGCCUUUUUAAGCUCAUUUUUCUUGACUUCCCAGUUGUUUUGGUGUGUCAGAAAUUGUUUUAAAAGUUUGUUUCACUUCCUCCCAAUGGACUACUGAAUUUGAGUACGCAGUUGAAGAGUUUAAGUUAUAAGUGGAAAGCAGGCUAAGAAAUGUGCAGCUUCACCGUGUGAACAGGGAUUGCCAAUUGUGUUGGUAACAGUAUUACUUAAUUUAUGACUGACAUUAUUCAUGAUUAUCUCAAUCUACCCUUGGUGUAACCUUAUCAGACAUCUCUAAUAAUGUU
Eleginops maclovinus (Patagonian blennie) is the source of this 941-nucleotide long non-coding RNA. RefSeq lists it as uncharacterized. NCBI's taxonomy places the organism in Eukaryota, Metazoa, Chordata, Actinopteri, Perciformes, Eleginopidae. The transcript is spliced from 3 exons. The record is from RefSeq and is a predicted model, not a curated record.